Molecule: long non-coding RNA, 4294 nt
Organism: Cuculus canorus (common cuckoo)
Lineage: Eukaryota; Metazoa; Chordata; Aves; Cuculiformes; Cuculidae
Exons: 4
Source: RefSeq, a predicted model, not a curated record
CUAGAGGGGAGGAGACUGCCGGAUUUACUGAGAACUUCACGCUAGAGCUUGAAGGUGCAGAAGCUGUCACAAGACUGGUUGCCCAACGAAAUGGUUUAUAUUAUGUUACGAAGAUCUUUUGAGAUUUCGCUGUAUUCAUUUUGCAAGAGGAAAUUCUUAAGAUGGAUAGAUACUGUUUCUGCCUCUAUAUAUGCAAGAUUAAAACAAAGAGGAGGUCAUGAGCUUCACUCCCAGAAGUAGAGGCAUUCCAAGCAUAAUACUCUACAAGGAAACAGUGUAGAUUUAUCCCGCACACUUGUAUUUAUGACCUGAGAAAUGGAAAGUUGAAAACUACUUGAGAAUCAUAACGAAGGCGAGGAGCAGCAACCUUCACAUCUUAAAAUCAUUUAUGCCUCUAGGGGACCAGCCAUUAUCCUGCAGUAGGUAUUUCAAGUUGGCAAAUCAAUGGAGAAGAUCAGGGAUGAAGAUGAAAGACCCAGCUAGCCAUGACCUUUGCCACUUCUGUUUUUUUUAAGUGUCCUUCAGUGUUGAUCAUGCAAAGAGUUGCGCUUAGGCUUAUUUUACCACCAGCCAAGAUGGAGAGAACUCAUCCUUCUUUUGAACUUAUCCUUCUUUUCUCCAAAGGCUUUUUGAAGCAGCCUCAGGUUUAGGGUUAAUAUUUUGUCUUUCUCUUGCUUAAGACUUUAUUCUUUGCCUGAAGAAUUUGUGAUAAUAUUCCUUUUUCCUUGUGUUGUAAUGACCAUCAUGUAAUGACAAUAAUGAUAUACACGACCUGGUCUUACAGCCCUAGAACUAGGAAACUGAGUGCAGGUAUGUCCUCAUAAAGCUUUUUUUUUCUGAAACAGGACUAAGCAUAACAAAUGAAUAAUUUACUUUGGGGAUUGGUGGAGAUGGUUACUUUAACACAGGGACAUAUUUUGCUUUAUAACAAACCAUGGAGUGUGAAAGCAUGUCAGUGAUUGAGAAAGACUUCUUCAUAAGGAAGUCAGCUACAGUAUUCUCUCCAUUGCUCUGCAAAGUAUAAAAGGUACAAUUUAUUUCAUAAUGAAUUGAGGCUAUCUGCUAUUUUAAUUUUUUUUUUUUUUGGGUCAACCUUGUUGCAGUUGUCUAUGUAUAACAGCAACUCAGCAGCAUUUUGAGUGAGAAACGGCAACAAACAACUAAAUUGUAAUCUGUUUUUAAAAUAGAUUACUAUACAUUAUCCUUAUUGUGACAUUCUGAAAAAGAUGUUUUAAUGAGGGUGAAGAAGAUCCCAAAAUAAGGUUUUAUUAAAAGUUCAAGAAAUACAAAAUUACUGCCUCAAAUCUGUUGUAGACAGAGAUAUAUUAGCACCUCAUGUGAAACUCCUCAAAUUUGCCUGAUUUUAAAAAGUAUCCCAACACUUCUUUGAAAACAUAAAGCCUUUCAAAAUGUUUCCUGUAAACCAUCAGAUAAUACAUACUCUAAUUGCCUCCACAUGUCUGAAGUUGUAGAUUGGAGAGGUUGUAGGGAUUUAGAUUAUUAUAGUCACCAAAAUACAGUGAGUCUUCUUUUGACUUUUGAAAGUGACCUGAAUAGAGAGGUAUCCAUGCUUUCCAACCUUUCUGCUCACAUUGUGCUUGAAGAUGGAAUUCCCUUUUCAAAGAUUAUUGUUUCCAAAAUUAAUUCCAUGGAAGAAGGAGGCAUUUUCCCACAACUAGUCCAUUCCCUCUAGACGUGCUUUCUCAGCAGUGGCCAACACCUAAUAGUGCAGUAUUUAGACAUAUUCUUGAUCCUGUGAUUUUUAGCAUAUGAUUUAACAUAACUGGUGGAACAACAAGUCUCCAAAUUGUGUUGUUCACAGUUUUAAAUUAAUCCUUAGACUAAAGCUCAAAUGAGGUUUUAACAAUCUCUUAGAUUCCAGAUUCUUAAUGGUCUGUGAAGAUCUUAAUUUAUGGGACCUCCACUACCCUGUACCUUGCUCCUCAAAAGAUGUAACCUGUUCUCUCUCUAUUUGUACCAAAGCUUUAACGGGGCUCACCACUUCUUAGUACAAAAGAAUGGAAGGAACAUGGGAGGAAGACUACCGAAGACUUGUGAGUCUCCCAUUUAGGCAUGUUUUCUGUUUGUCACUGAAAUGCUUUUUCUCUAUUCUUUGAAGGUGAGCAGAAAGGAUUUUGUCUGUAAGCCAAACUCUAUAUCCCAUAUUUCUGCACUGAAGAUAUUCCAUCUGUGUGGUAGGAGCUGAAGAAGUUAAAGUCUGAAGCGAAGAAAUAGCCAUUAAUAAUUAAGAAAUGUUAAUGAGGGUUAGAUUUACCUCAGACCUAAUCAUCUUGGAAAAUUACCUUUUAGGAACUGCUUUCAUUUUGGAGAUAACCAUGGUACCUUAUUUAUUCCCAAGUAUGAUGAACACUACCUGUCAGUCUAUGCCAUCACAGUUAUUUGCUUCAGGAGAUGCCUGAGUAACAUAUAAGUGGCCUUUCAUUGAUAUAUCCGUAUCCUAACCAUGCUUGAUCUAGUGUCAGCACAUGAGGACUGUUUAUAGACUUUGAAAUGUGCUCACACUAUUACCAAGACAGCUUAGGGCUUUUUAACUGAAGGUCCUGAUAUGUGAGUCAAUCCCUUAUUGUUGGUAAUACUGGAAGACAACAUUUGACAAAUACUGUAAAAAUAUAUCAAAGCAAAUUUGUGCCUCUUCUGGGUAUUCAAAAGGCCAUUUCCUUACAUUUCUUUCUAUUUCUUCAUGUACUUCCCAACAGAGGUCUGUGUAACUAUUUGUAUUCAUAUUUCUGUAUUUUUUUUUUUUUUUGGUUAAUCCAGGGGUUAAGUGCUUUAUUGAUUCAACUUGGUAACCUUUGGGUCUUAGUGGAAUUCCUUGAAAAAACACACAAACAACCCAAAUUCUCAUGUUUCAGCACUGUGAGUAGCAACUCUUUAGUCUUAUUGCUACAGAAGACCUCAUGAUGCAAGUAUCUCAUCACUUCUGAAGUGUAGUUACAACACUGGAGAAUGUGGAGGCAGUGUUGUCCCAUCAAAGAAUGAAGCUGCUAGAUCAUGGGUUCAUUAGAAAAUAGUCCUCACUGCUACUUCCACACCUUUGUUCCUUCACAUAUGAGACUGAAAUAGGUACUAUUUGUUUUGCUGUUUGUUUACUUCUCCAGUGUUUCUUUUGCUAGUGCUCAGUGCACAUAAUCUUUAAUGGUAGGAAGUUUGCAGAUUUGUUUUGGGGCUUGCUGUUAAUUCCCAUGAGCCAAAAGCCUUCUACUAAUGUACCACAAACUUCAUUUUCAUCUGUCAGAAGAGGUUUCAAAAUCUAGGGGCAGAAACAAUUACAUUAAUAAAGCGUAUUUACCUUUUAGACCUAAGUACUUUAUGAUCUGGGAAUAGUCGGAUUUUGUCACUGAGGCUGAAUUGUUGAGCACGGCAUUAUUACUAGUUAGGAAGUAUUAUAAAAUUGAUCUGGAAAAAGUAGUUUGCAUUAUCAGUUGCUUCUCUGUCAAACUUCUAUCUCUGUACAUCAAGAAAUGUAGCCCUUAGAAAAUAAAUAUACAAAACAAAUGUCUGUUGUACAGCAAGAUGUUCUUUAAUUUAUUCCUUUUGUUUAAAAGUGACGUCUGUUUAGCACAUUGGUUUAGAUAUGAUUUAAAGUAGUUGACAUGACAGAUUGAAAACUUAAAAUGUAGCAUGAAUAAUACACAGUAAAUUUCUGUUGGGAUGUUUUUAUUCACUAGGGAGCCCUGAAUAAGUUAGCAGCACUUGCAGCCACAACUUGUAUACAGGGGAAUAAUUUCUAUUUAUUCCAUUCUUCCAUGGAGUUAAUUGAUGGGUCCAUGUGUGUGUGUGUAUAUAUAUACAUACAUGUAUGUAUGUGUAUCUGUGCUUGUGUGUAUACAUACAUAUGUAUGUAUGUGUAUAUGCAUAUAGUCAGCUGACUGAGAGUCACACAACUACACACAAUCCACGCAGUUUAUUAACAGCAUAUCAUCUCUAAAUGGACCUCACUGCAAUUUGAGAUGUGCCCUGCUAGGAGCUAAUGAGCAAACUGCCUAAUAUUGGCAAUUAAUCAGAUAUAAAAGCAUCUAGGAUCAGGACCCAUUGCCAGGCAUAGAAAACUCAUACAGACUUCAAUGAAACAUGAUAUGUGAACAAAUUUGUCUAUCAGUCCUAUGAACAAAUUCCCACAAAAACACUUAAUUAUCUACAGUACAGAAGCAAUGCAUCCAUCUCAGAAUUGGUUGGUAGCUUUUUGGUGUUCAUGAGCCGUUUCCUGUACCUAAGAAAUUGAAGUAUUAUUGUACUUUCUUGCCAGAGUCCCUGUUUUAAUUGGUCUUGUAUA